This 873-nucleotide long non-coding RNA is filed under the name Homo sapiens (human). RNAcentral's name for it is "non-protein coding lnc-MUC20-67:2". The record is from RNAcentral. Lineage: Eukaryota; Metazoa; Chordata; Mammalia; Primates; Hominidae.
GACUGGCGGGACUGCGCGGCGGCGACUACAGACGUGUCGGGGGUCCGGGGCCUGUCGCGGUUGCCAAGCGCUCGGCGCUUGGCGCUGGCGCUGGCCAAGGCGGUAGAAAAUUAUGGCAUGCCGUUUAGCAGAACUGAAGAUGGGAAGAUUUAUCAGCGUGCAUUUGGCGGACACAGCCUCAAGUUUGGAAAGGGCAGGCAGGCCCAUCGGUGCUGCUGUGUGGCUGAUCGGACCGGCCACUCAAUAUUGCACACCUUAUAUGGGAGGUCUCUGCGAUAUGAUACCAGCUGUUUUGUGGAGUAUUUUGCCUUGGAUCUCCUGAUGGAGAAUGGGGAGUGCCGUGGUGUCUUCGCACUGUGCAUACAGGACGGGUCCAUCCAUCGCAUAAGAGCAAAGAAUACUAUUGUUGCCACAGGGCUACGGGCGCACCUACUUGAGCUGCACGUCUGCCCACACCAGCACCAGCGACGGCACGGCCAUGAUCACCAGGGCAGGCCUUCCUUGCCAGGACCUCGAGUUUGUUCAGUUCCACCCCACAGGCACAUAUGGUGCUGGUUGUCUCAUUACGGAAGGAUGUCGUGGAGAGGGAGGCAUUCUCAUUAACAGUCAAGGCGAAAGGUUUAUGGAGCGAUACGCCCCCAUCGCGAAGGACCUGGCGUCUAGAGAUGUGGUGUCUCGGUGGAUGACUCUGGAGAUCCGCGAAGGAAGAGGCUGUGGCCCUGAGAAAGAUCACGUCUACCUGCAGCUGCACCACCUACCUCCAGAGCAGCUGGCCAUGCCCUUGCCCGGCAUUUCAGAGACAGCCAUGAUCUUCGCUGGUGUGGACGUCACGAAGGAGCCGAUCCCUGUCCUCCCCACCGUGCAUUAUAACAU